RNAcentral lists this ribosomal RNA (119 nucleotides) under Aedes aegypti (yellow fever mosquito). Lineage: Eukaryota; Metazoa; Arthropoda; Insecta; Diptera; Culicidae. The record is from RNAcentral.
UUCAACGAUCAUACCUUGUUGAAAAUACCAGUUAUCGUCCGAUGACUGAAGUUAAGCAACAUUGUGCACGAUUAGUACUCAGAUGGGUGACCGCUUGGGAACGUCGCGUGUCCUUUUGA